RNAcentral lists this long non-coding RNA (231 nucleotides) under Falco tinnunculus (common kestrel). RNAcentral describes it as "lncRNA (ENSFTIG00000001345.1)". The record is from RNAcentral. Lineage: Eukaryota; Metazoa; Chordata; Aves; Falconiformes; Falconidae.
CUUCAUCCACCCGGAAGCCGGACUUCAGGCAAACUGUUACAAAAACUUUCUUGAAGCUUCUGUAAGCCUGGGCUGAUGUUUUGCCUAGCAUAGAUUUUAAUCUAACAGCUCUGUUCUCUCUUGUUCCUUCUUUAGGUCAUGAUUAAUCUCAGCCCUAAUGAUAAUUCAGCAUGAAACUGCAAAGCAGAGCGUAGCUUUCUGCAACUCAGAUUUGCUCUGGAAAUGAAAAGU